UACGUAGGGUGCAAGCGUUAAUCGGAAUUACUGGGCGUAAAGCGUGCGCAGGCGGUUUUGUAAGUCUGUCGUGAAAUCCCUGGGCUCAACCCAGGAACUGCGUCCAAGACUGGGAGGCUUGAAUCCGGGAGAGGGAUGCGGAAUUCCAGGUGUAGCGGUGAAAUGCGUAGAUAUCGAGAGGAACACCUGCGGCGAAGGCGGGUUGCUGGGCUGAUACUGACGCUGAGGCGCGAAAGCCAGGGGAGCGAACGGG
This 253-nucleotide ribosomal RNA is filed under the name uncultured bacterium. RNAcentral's name for it is "partial 16S ribosomal RNA". It matches the Rfam family "Bacterial small subunit ribosomal RNA", at positions 524 to 776 of the family's 1533-position model. The record is from RNAcentral.